RNAcentral lists this ribosomal RNA (253 nucleotides) under uncultured bacterium. RNAcentral describes it as "partial 16S ribosomal RNA". It matches the Rfam family "Bacterial small subunit ribosomal RNA", at positions 524 to 776 of the family's 1533-position model. The record is from RNAcentral.
UACGUAGGGUGCGAGCGUUAAUCGGAAUUACUGGGCGUAAAGCGUGCGCAGGCGGUGAUGUAAGACAGGUGUGAAAUCCCCGGGCUUAACCUGGGAACUGCGCUUGAUACGGCAGAGCUAGAGGAUGGAAGAGGCUCGCGGAAUUCCCAGUGUAGAGGUGAAAUGCGUAGAUAUCUGGAGGAAUACCGGUGGCGAAGGCGGCAUCCUGGACCAUAACUGACGCUGAGGCGCGAAAGCUAGGGGAGCAAACGGG